Molecule: ribosomal RNA, 253 nt
Filed under: uncultured bacterium
Lineage: Bacteria
Description: partial 16S ribosomal RNA
Rfam family: Bacterial small subunit ribosomal RNA
Source: RNAcentral
UACGUAGGGUGCGAGCGUUGUCCGGAAUUACUGGGCGUAAAGAGCUCGUAGGUGGUUUGUCGCGUUGUUCGUGAAAACUCACAGCUCAACUGUGGGCGUGCGGGCGAUACGGGCAGACUGGAGUACUGCAGGGGAGACUGGAAUUUCUGGUGUAGCGGUGGAAUGCGCAGAUAUCAGGAGGAACACCGGUGGCGAAGGCGGGUCUCUGGGCAGUAACUGACGCUGAGGAGCGAAAGCGUGGGGAGCGAACAGG